Molecule: ribosomal RNA, 342 nt
Filed under: Triticum aestivum (bread wheat)
Lineage: Eukaryota; Viridiplantae; Streptophyta; Magnoliopsida; Poales; Poaceae
Description: partial small subunit ribosomal RNA
Source: RNAcentral
AUGGCGAUGUGCACAUCAGUCAAUAGUCACAGAGCUAAGACACAUGGUGCGGCCAGAAGGGUGGCCAAGGGAGGCAUCUACCGGGGGAGGAGGCACCUAUCCACCUCUCAUGCAUGGAUGGAAUCCAAUGUCAACACAAUGGGAGCAGGCACGUGGCUAAUAUAUGCUACUGUAGGCCACAUGUGGAUACCAGGGAGCCAAGUGGGCACGGGAACAGAUUUUAAAGAACUUUCUUGUUGCCAGCCGCAGAACUUAACAAAAUUUAAAGAACUUUUUUGUCAGCGGCCACAUAACUUAACACUGUUAUUUAGAGCCUUCACUACGAGACUUGAGUGUUAUUGA